ACAAAAUAUACACCAGUGGUAAUUAGUUCCCAAAGUGAGCAGAGUUUUAACAAUGCUUAAGAGAACAGACAUCAGGACAGAAAAUACUAGUAGACAACAACCAGUGUAUGGGAACAGUCGAGUCACAGCCUGAAGUACUGAUUGAGCACCUGGGGAAAGGACCCGGUCAGCCCUGGGAGCACAGGUGAAGGCAAUUCAGGUGUGCCACCAGUAGAACCUAGCUGCAACUUUCUAUGACCUUAUUUAAGGGCUGACUGCCCCUAGGGAAUGAUCUUUUUCUGGAGAUCUCUUCUUUUCCCUGCAAACCUAAAAUCUUCUGAUAUGGAUGUCCUGCCUGCAUGAGGAGGAUGCUGUGAAGAGGCAUAAUCACCAGAAAGUUCAAAGAACAUGUAUAGAAACCUAUAAAAUAUGCCAUUCUACAGUAUGCUUACUGAAGAAAGGCUUUUUCUUUAUAAUUUGGCUCAAGUGACAGCUGAAAACAAAGGAAUGGGAGAAUGGGGAAGGCUCAGUGGUGAC
Molecule: long non-coding RNA, 516 nt
Organism: Tympanuchus pallidicinctus (lesser prairie-chicken)
Lineage: Eukaryota; Metazoa; Chordata; Aves; Galliformes; Phasianidae
Exons: 3
Source: RefSeq, a predicted model, not a curated record